This 324-nucleotide ribosomal RNA is filed under the name uncultured Actinomycetes bacterium. RNAcentral's name for it is "bacterial SSU rRNA". It matches the Rfam family "Bacterial small subunit ribosomal RNA", at positions 28 to 351 of the family's 1533-position model. Lineage: Bacteria; Bacillati; Actinomycetota; Actinomycetes. The record is from RNAcentral.
GACGAACGCUGGCGGCAUGCUUAACACAUGCAAGUGGAGCGACGAACCCUUACGGGGGCAAAGCCGCGAACGGGUGAGUAACACGUGGGCAACCUGCCCCGAUGACUGGAAUAACUCGAAGAAAUUCGAGCUAAUACCGGAUGUGCCAUUUCCUCAUCAGGGGGACUGGUAAAGGAGCUUCGGCUAUCCGCAUUGGGAGGGGCCUGCGCAGCAUUAGCUAGUUGGUGGGGUAAAGGCCUACCAAGGCUACGAUGCUUAGCUGGUCUGAGAGGACGAUCAGCCACACUGGAACUGAGACACGGUCCAGACUCCUACGGGUGGCUG